This 439-nucleotide ribosomal RNA is filed under the name uncultured bacterium. Its description in RNAcentral is "bacterial SSU rRNA". It matches the Rfam family "Bacterial small subunit ribosomal RNA", at positions 959 to 1397 of the family's 1533-position model. The record is from RNAcentral.
ACGCGAGGAACCUUACCAGGUCUUGACAUCCUCUGACACUCCUAGAGAUAGGACGUUCCCCUUCGGGGGACAGAGUGACAGGUGGUGCAUGGUUGUCGUCAGCUCGUGUCGUGAGAUGUUGGGUUAAGUCCCGCAACGAGCGCAACCCUUGUUCUUAGUUGCCAUCAUUUAGUUGGGCACUCUAAGGAGACUGCCGGUGACAAACCGGAGGAAGGUGGGGAUGACGUCAAAUCAUCAUGCCCCUUAUGACCUGGGCUACACACGUGCUACAAUGGACGGUACAAACGGUUGCCAACCCGCGAGGGGGAGCUAAUCCGAUAAAACCGUUCUCAGUUCGGAUUGUAGGCUGCAACUCGCCUACAUGAAGCCGGAAUCGCUAGUAAUCGCGGAUCAGCAUGCCGCGGUGAAUACGUUCCCGGGUCUUGCACUCACCGCCCGU